Tyto alba (common barn owl) is the source of this 1547-nucleotide long non-coding RNA. RefSeq lists it as uncharacterized. NCBI's taxonomy places the organism in Eukaryota, Metazoa, Chordata, Aves, Strigiformes, Tytonidae. The record is from RefSeq and is a predicted model, not a curated record. The transcript has 5 exons.
CUUCAGGUCCUCAUGGUGCACUCUGAAUUGCAGCCCGCUGAUGCUGGGAUGUGCAGGCAUGGAGAAAUAUAGCUCUGGUACAUGAUCUCUACAGCAAACAGCUAUUCACUUGAAGUGUGCACUGGGAACAGAUUUAAGCAACAAGGAUUUUUUUGAAGAAGCUGGACACAGAAGACAGAACGGGAGCCUCCCAGGGUACUCCAAGACUGAAGUCCACAUGAAAAAUGGGCUGAAUGGCGAAUCUAAAAAUGCUAAGCAGGAUGUUGGAUUGAAGUCUGCUUUGGCAUUUUGUAAUAAGAGAAUCUGUCCGAGUUGAUGCUUUGUCAGAAGCAAGUGCUGCAAUAUUUAAUUCUCAGUGAUUAAUGUACAAUAUACAAAAUUGGAUGACUAAUAGAAGUUCUUCCUUGUCUCAGCUUUUUUAAAAAAAAUCCAAUCAAAAUACACAGACUGAAGGAACAAAAAGACCUUUCAGUCCAACUCUGUCCUCAAAGACCAAAUUAUCAGUCAAUAUCCCUCAUAUAAAUGACUGUCUUGUAUAUUCUUAUAUGUUCUAUACUUAAUAUACUAUACACUUAAAUCCUACACAUUUAACCUUUUGUUACUGAAAAAACAUUCCUCUAAUAACAUAGCACCAGGACUGAUGAACUUGCCUUUCAUUAAGAAGCCUGCUGGAGUGGAAUAGUUCUACGCUCAACAAAAAACCAAAGUUGGUGAAAAUAAGAAAGCGAAAUGAAUGCAGCUUUGAUACAGUCUCUUCAUUCUUCUUAUUAUUCUUGAUAAAAAGCAUAUUUGGUUUAUUUACAAAGUGGUUUUACUUUUAGUGAUGUGGUUUUAUAAUCUGAAUCAGGAUUUAAUGAUAAAUCACUUCUAUUUUAUAUGUUUAAUCAUAAGAAGAUACUAUGAUUUUUAGGACUGAAUGGUUCAACACAAGUAAGCCUUAUAUUCAUCCCUAUUUUUGUGGUUUUGAUCUACUCCUCCCCCAUUUCACUUUCUUUCCCAAAUAGUUUUUCCUUUCCUACUGCGUUUCUUCUGUCUUUGAGCUAAAUACUGAUAAGCACUGUUGGGGACAGGGAAAGAGGGCUGCACAAUGGCCUGGAUAACAACAGCUGACAAGUGCUGUGAGAGUAACUCUGUGUGACUGGAACAGCCAAAAGUGUCUGAGAUUUGCCCAAACAGUGAUACUGCUGAAGAAGAUGAUGACCAUCAUCCAGAUUGAAGAGCAACCAGGGAAUUACAAAGAUACUUUUGAAACAAUGAAGGAGAACCUUGAAAAGAAAUAUGAAAGACUCAUAGAAAGUAUGCAACAAUCGUGAGGGACCUUGGAGUGAGAAUAGGAUAACAGAGCAGCAGUUUAAAUCCAUUUUGACACUGGCAGAAGUCGCCCCAGCAUGUUAAUUCUGGGGCACCCACAGACAGUAUGUGUAAGUAUGGGUACCUGCACACCCAGUAGUGGAGGAGUCUUACAGCUGUGAGCAUGUGUGUGUAAUUUUAACUUUUUAUCAUUACUUAUAAAAGGAUGUUUAGAAAUUUACAGAUCUCUGUUAAUG